This 145-nucleotide non-coding RNA is filed under the name uncultured Cognaticolwellia sp. RNAcentral describes it as "Moco (molybdenum cofactor) riboswitch". It matches the Rfam family "Molybdenum/Tungsten riboswitch aptamer (Moco RNA motif)", at positions 8 to 125 of the family's 135-position model. Lineage: Bacteria; Pseudomonadati; Pseudomonadota; Gammaproteobacteria; Alteromonadales; Colwelliaceae. The record is from RNAcentral.
UUGAAUUUCGCCGAGCUAUCUUAGCUAACCCUGCCAAAUAUGGCAGAUAUGCUGAUUUAGCCGUAAACCAAGUUUUAUUUAAGAGUUUACCAGGGUUAACAAGGAAACUUGUUAACCUCCCGACAUUGGAAAGGUGACAUGUUAA